UUCGGGACGCUGGCGAGUGGCGAACGGGUGCGUAACGCGUGGAAACCUGCCCCGAGGUGUGGGACAACAGUUGGAAACGACUGCUAAUACCGCAUAAGCCUUACGAGGGAAAGGCGCAAGUCGCCUUGGGAGGGGUCCGCGUCGGAUUAGCUAGUUGGCGGGGUAAAGGCCUACCAAGGCGAUGAUCCGUGGCUGGUCUGAGAGGAUGAUCAGCCACACUGGGACUGAGACACGGCCCAGACUCCUACGGGAGGCAGCAGUGGGGAAUAUUGCGCAAUGGGAGAAAUCCUGACGCAGCGAUACCGCGUGGGUGAAGAAGGUCUUCGGAUUGUAAAGCCCUUUCAGCAGGAAAGAUGAUGACGGUACCUGCAGAAGAAGCCCCGGCUAACUCCGUGCCAGCAGCCGCGGUAAUACGGAGGGGGCGAGCGUUGUUCGGAAUGACUGGGCGUAAAGGGCGCGUAGGCUGCUCUGCAAG
This 475-nucleotide ribosomal RNA is filed under the name uncultured Magnetococcus sp. Its description in RNAcentral is "bacterial SSU rRNA". It matches the Rfam family "Bacterial small subunit ribosomal RNA", at positions 79 to 587 of the family's 1533-position model. Lineage: Bacteria; Pseudomonadati; Pseudomonadota; Magnetococcia; Magnetococcales; Magnetococcaceae. The record is from RNAcentral.